AACAAGUGAGAUAGUGAAUUUGUAGAAGAAUGGUUGUAUUUCAAGCCAGAAGGCUUCUUUUGCAGUUUAACAAAAGCAUUGAAAACCAAAUGCAAUAAUAGUGUAAAAACUAUAACUCUUGGUCUUUCAGCAAUUUACAACUUUAAAUUUGAUUGGCUUUUUUAUUAUCAAUGCUGCAGUGAUCUUAAUGAUUCUGCUUAAAGGGGGG
Molecule: unclassified non-coding RNA, 208 nt
Filed under: Hevea brasiliensis (rubber tree)
Lineage: Eukaryota; Viridiplantae; Streptophyta; Magnoliopsida; Malpighiales; Euphorbiaceae
Source: RNAcentral